GCCUGUAUGGAUCAACUGGUAGAUCACCUUCCAAAAUUGUUGUGAACUGCUCGAGAUUUUGAGGGAGACGGAGGUUCGAAUCCUCCUAUGGGCA
This is a non-coding RNA of Mycena leptocephala, 94 nucleotides long. The record is from the annotation of a GenBank genome assembly. Lineage: Eukaryota; Fungi; Basidiomycota; Agaricomycetes; Agaricales; Mycenaceae.